Molecule: ribosomal RNA, 246 nt
Filed under: uncultured bacterium
Lineage: Bacteria
Description: partial 16S ribosomal RNA
Rfam family: Bacterial small subunit ribosomal RNA
Source: RNAcentral
CAACUGGGUAACCUGCCCAAGAGACUGGGAUAACACCUGGAAACAGAUGCUAAUACCGGAUAACAACACUAGACGCAUGUCUAGAGUUUAAAAGAUGGUUCUGCUAUCACUCUUGGAUGGACCUGCGGUGCAUUAGCUAGUUGGUAAGGUAACGGCUUACCAAGGCAAUGAUGCAUAGCCGAGUUGAGAGACUGAUCGGCCACAUUGGGACUGAGACACGGCCCAAACUCCUACGGAAGGCAGCAG